RNAcentral lists this ribosomal RNA (997 nucleotides) under Escherichia coli. RNAcentral's name for it is "partial 23S ribosomal RNA". It matches the Rfam family "Bacterial large subunit ribosomal RNA", at positions 168 to 1206 of the family's 2925-position model. Lineage: Bacteria; Pseudomonadati; Pseudomonadota; Gammaproteobacteria; Enterobacterales; Enterobacteriaceae. The record is from RNAcentral.
AGGUUAAUGAGGCGAACCGGGGGAACUGAAACAUCUAAGUACCCCGAGGAAAAGAAAUCAACCGAGAUUCCCCCAGUAGCGGCGAGCGAACGGGGAGGAGCCCAGAGCCUGAAUCAGUGUGUGUGUUAGUGGAAGCGUCUGGAAAGGCGCGCGAUACAGGGUGACAGCCCCGUACACAAAAAUGCACAUGCUGUGAGCUCGAUGAGUAGGGCGGGACACGUGGUAUCCUGUCUGAAUAUGGGGGGACCAUCCUCCAAGGCUAAAUACUCCUGACUGACCGAUAGUGAACCAGUACCGUGAGGGAAAGGCGAAAAGAACCCCGGCGAGGGGAGUGAAAAAGAACCUGAAACCGUGUACGUACAAGCAGUGGGAGCCUCUUAAUGGGGUGACUGCGUACCUUUUGUAUAAUGGGUCAGCGACUUAUAUUCUGUAGCAAGGUUAACCGAAUAGGGGAGCCGAAGGGAAACCGAGUCUUAACUGGGCGUUAAGUUGCAGGGUAUAGACCCGAAACCCGGUGAUCUAGCCAUGGGCAGGUUGAAGGUUGGGUAACACUAACUGGAGGACCGAACCGACUAAUGUUGAAAAAUUAGCGGAUGACUUGUGGCUGGGGGUGAAAGGCCAAUCAAACCGGGAGAUAGCUGGUUCUCCCCGAAAGCUAUUUAGGUAGCGCCUCGUGAAUUCAUCUCCGGGGGUAGAGCACUGUUUCGGCAAGGGGGUCAUCCCGACUUACCAACCCGAUGCAAACUGCGAAUACCGGAGAAUGUUAUCACGGGAGACACACGGCGGGUGCUAACGUCCGUCGUGAAGAGGGAAACAACCCAGACCGCCAGCUAAGGUCCCAAAGUCAUGGUUAAGUGGGAAACGAUGUGGGAAGGCCCAGACAGCCAGGAUGUUGGCUUAGAAGCAGCCAUCAUUUAAAGAAAGCGUAAUAGCUCACUGGUCGAGUCGGCCUGCGCGGAAGAUGUAACGGGGCUAAACCAUGCACCGAAGCUGCGGC